CCCUUAGAUGUUCGGGGCUGCACAUGCGCUACACUGAAGGAAUCAACGUGUAUUUGCCCUUGCCCGAAAGGGUUGGGUAACCCGUUGAACCUCCUUCGUGCUAGGGAUUGGGGCUUGUAAUUAUUCCCCAUGAACGAGGAAUUCCCAGUAAGCGCGAGUCAUAAGCUCGCGUUGAUUACGUCCCUGCCCUUUGUACACACCGCCCGUCGCUCCUACCGAUCGAAGAGUUAGGUGAAUUGUUUUGAUCGAUAAGAUUUGACUAUGGUCAACUCUCGUUGUGAAAUUCUGUGAAUCUGACUGUUUAGAGGAAGGAAAAGUCGUAACA
RNAcentral lists this ribosomal RNA (325 nucleotides) under uncultured eukaryote. RNAcentral's name for it is "partial 18S ribosomal RNA". It matches the Rfam family "Eukaryotic small subunit ribosomal RNA", at positions 1470 to 1796 of the family's 1831-position model. The record is from RNAcentral.